This 253-nucleotide ribosomal RNA is filed under the name uncultured bacterium. RNAcentral describes it as "partial 16S ribosomal RNA". It matches the Rfam family "Bacterial small subunit ribosomal RNA", at positions 524 to 776 of the family's 1533-position model. The record is from RNAcentral.
UACAGAGGUCUCAAGCGUUGUUCGGAUUCAUUGGGCGUAAAGGGUGCGUAGGCGGCUGCUCAAGUCGAAUGUGAAAACUCGAGGCUCAACCUCGAGCCUGCAUUCGAUACUGGGCGGCUAGAGUCUGGUAGGGGGAUCUGGAAUUCCUGGUGUAGCGGUGGAAUGCGCAGAUAUCAGGAGGAACACCGGUGGCGAAGGCGGGAUCCUGGGCCAGUACUGACGCUGAGGAGCGAAAGCGUGGGGAGCAAACAGG